Long non-coding RNA from Eublepharis macularius, 725 nucleotides. RefSeq lists it as uncharacterized. The record is from RefSeq and is a predicted model, not a curated record. NCBI's taxonomy places the organism in Eukaryota, Metazoa, Chordata, Lepidosauria, Squamata, Eublepharidae. The transcript is spliced from 4 exons.
GCUCCACCGGGCGGUGCCAAAAAGUAACCGUAUCUCAGAGGAGGUUUUGCUUGCCUGGUGCUGGCAGGUUGAUCUGGUGGGAACAAGAAAGGCACCUGUGGACUUUCUCAGCCAAGAUGGAAAUUGCUGCUAACUUGAUAAUCAACGUCAUCCACAUCUCUGAGGGUAGUAUAACAGCAGUAAAUGCCGUGGUGCCACCGGCAGUGAUCCCGAUAAUAUGUGCCACAGUGAUUGUUGUUGCUGUGGCUGUCGCCACGUAUCUCAUUGUAAAAUUAUUUAAACAUAAAAAGACUGCCUGAAUGCCAGAAAACGAGGGACACAGAAGGUCGGCCCACCUCUGUGUUGCUUUCUAUUGCGCUGAAUGCUGGCUUUGAAUUGGGCCAUAAGACACAAAUGGGCUUGACGGGGCUUCUUGUGUAUUUCUUUUCCUGGAUAGCCUGAAUAGCAGCUUCAUUUCAUGUGCUGUCCAGUGCUGCUUUUUUGCUUGUGUGAUUUCUUUAUACUACUCACACCUUUUAGUGUCGGCGUUUCUUCCAUUUGCUCCGCGAUGUCUUUCCUAGCUGCUCUGUGUGACACACAUUCCUUCCCACCCAUCUACUUCCUACAUAUUUUCUCAGGCAGGACAUUGCUUUUAUUUUUCUUGAAGUGCUUGUGGCCUGAUCGUUUUAUUUCAUUGCAUGAUUUUGUGCACUCGGCCUAAUAAACCAGUUUAAUUUGAGGCAGAA